CCUACGGGGGGCAGCAGUGAGGAAUAUUGGUCAAUGGGCGUAAGCCUGAACCAGCCAAGUUGCGUGAGGGAUGAAGGUUCUAUGGAUCGUAAACCUCUUUUAUAAGGGAAUAAAGUGUGGGACGUGUCCCAUUGUGGAUGUACCUUAUGAAUAAGGAUCGGCUAACUCCGUGCCAGCAGCCGCGGUAAUACGGAGGAUCCGAGCGUUAUCCGGAUUUGUUGGGUUUAAAGGGUGCGUAGGCGGGCUUGUAAGUUAGCGGUGAAAGUCUGUGGCUCAACCAUAGAAUCGCCGUUGAGACUGGCGGGCUUGAGUGUGUUUGAGGCAGGCGGAAUGCGUGGUGUAGCGGUGAAAUGCUUAGAUAUCAGGCAGAACCCCGAUUGCGAAGGCAGCCUACCGAGCCACGACUGACGCUGAUGCACGAAAGCGUGGGGAGCAAACAGGAUUAGAUACCCUUGUAGUC
Molecule: ribosomal RNA, 460 nt
Filed under: uncultured bacterium
Lineage: Bacteria
Description: partial 16S ribosomal RNA
Rfam family: Bacterial small subunit ribosomal RNA
Source: RNAcentral